AUGGCCAUCAAGCGCGUCUUCCCCGACGACCACCCCGACUUCAAGGUGGACACCAGCGGCGGCGCCCCGAGGUUCACCUUCUUCAACAGGGCGCGCUACUGGAGAUCCACCGACUACCAGGAGAUGCGCGCGCUCGGCGUGGGCGCCUAUGGCGGCGUCGUGGAGGCGCGCCACCGCACCAACGGCUGGACCGUCGCCGUCAAGAAGCCGCUCCCCUGCGCGCACGAGGGCGCCGGCAUCGCGUGCGGCUGCGCCGAUGCCCGUACGCUGCGCGAGGCCGCGUUCCUCGCGGCGUGCCACCGCCACCGCGCCAUCGUCGAGCUCCGGGCGCUCUCGCUCGACCGCUGCGCCGGGAAGCUCUCCGUCGUCAUGGAGUGCGUCGGGCCCAGCCUGCACGACGUCCUCCAUGAGCACCGCCGCGGACGGCCCUUCCCCGAGGCCGACGUGCGCUGCAUCAUGGAGUAG
RNAcentral lists this ribosomal RNA (465 nucleotides) under Triticum aestivum (bread wheat). RNAcentral describes it as "partial small subunit ribosomal RNA". Lineage: Eukaryota; Viridiplantae; Streptophyta; Magnoliopsida; Poales; Poaceae. The record is from RNAcentral.